RNAcentral lists this ribosomal RNA (551 nucleotides) under uncultured Glomeromycotina. RNAcentral's name for it is "SSU rRNA". It matches the Rfam family "Eukaryotic small subunit ribosomal RNA", at positions 548 to 1098 of the family's 1831-position model. Lineage: Eukaryota; Fungi; Glomeromycota. The record is from RNAcentral.
UUGGAGGGCAAGUCUGGUGCCAGCAGCCGCGGUAAUUCCAGCUCCAAUAGCGUAUAUUAAAGUUGUUGCAGUUAAAAAGCUCGUAGUUGAAUUUCGGGAUCAAUACGUCGGUCGUGCUUUUUUGGUACGCACUGGCGUCAUUGGUUUCUCCUUUCUGACGAACCAUGAUGUCAUUAAUUUGGUGUUAUGGGGAGUUAGGACUGUUACUUUGAAAAAAUUAGAGUGUUUAAAGCAGGCAUUAGCUUGAAUACAUUAGCAUGGAAUAAUGAAAUAGGACGUUCGAUCCUAUUUUGUUGGUUUCUAGGAUCAACGUAAUGAUUAAUAGGGAUAGUUGGGGGCAUUAGUAUUCAAUUGUCAGAGGUGAAAUUCUUGGAUUUAUUGAAGACUAACUACUGCGAAAGCAUUUGCCAAGGAUGUUUUCAUUAAUCAAGAACGAAAGUUAGGGGACCGAAGACGAUCAGAUACCGUCGUAGUCUUAACCAUAAACUAUGCCGACUAGGGAUCGGAUGAUGUUAAUUUUAUAAUGACUCAUUCGGCGCCUUACGGGAAAC